CUGGUGGGCGACAGCGAUGUGGGCAAGGGCGAGAUCCUGGAGAGCCUACAGGACGGCGCGGCCGAGUCCCCGUACGCCUACAGCAACGAAGUGGGAUAACAGGGUCAAAUGGGAGUUCCAUCCAAGACUUCUGAUGGAACACUGUGCCUUGACUUCAGCCAGCAGAGUGGCUGCUGUGCUGUGCAGAUUAACUGGCCCAAGAAGAGUGGAUUGUGCAGAUGAUCCUUGAUAGUCUGGCCACAUGGCCAUGGAUGUCCCACUCAGGUGGCCGAUGUCCCCGGUCUGGAGGAGAGGGCAGGUGAAGACAGAGCAGAUGUCCUGUUUGUCAGUGCCACCCAGCCCUCAGCCUUCUUCCCAUGUGUCCCCACAACUCUGUUUACAGCUCCUGAUGAAGUGGGUCUCAGUGGGCAGGAGGGGUGCCCUGGUGAACUCCCCUGAUCACCAGGUCAAGGGUGACUGUCAGAAAAUAAAGUGACUUUCUAGAAAA
Myotis brandtii (Brandt's bat) is the source of this 487-nucleotide long non-coding RNA. RefSeq lists it as uncharacterized. The record is from RefSeq and is a predicted model, not a curated record. Lineage: Eukaryota; Metazoa; Chordata; Mammalia; Chiroptera; Vespertilionidae. The transcript has 2 exons.